This 328-nucleotide ribosomal RNA is filed under the name uncultured soil bacterium. Its description in RNAcentral is "bacterial SSU rRNA". It matches the Rfam family "Bacterial small subunit ribosomal RNA", at positions 26 to 355 of the family's 1533-position model. The record is from RNAcentral.
AGAUUGAACGCUGGCGGCAUGCCUUACACAUGCAAGUCGAACGGCAGCACGGGGGCAACCCUGGUGGCGAGUGGCGAACGGGUGAGUAAUGCAUCGGAACGUGCCCAGUAGUGGGGGAUAACUAGUCGAAAGAUUAGCUAAUACCGCAUACGACCUAUGGGUGAAAGCGGGGGACCUUUACCGGCCUCGCGCUAUUGGAGCGGCCGAUGUCUGAUUAGCUAGUUGGCGGGGUAAAAGCCCACCAAGGCUUCGAUCAGUAGCUGGUCUGAGAGGACGACCAGCCACACUGGGACUGAGACACGGCCCAGACUCCUACGGGAGCAGCAGU